UGGUUCUGAGUCGGAAGCACGGGCAAAAAUUAGGGAUGCUGGCAGCCAGUGCCGGAGUCCUGCUGGUCCUGGGCGGAUCACUGUGGUCUGGUUUCCUGUGCCGGUUGCUGCAGAGGCUGUGGGUUGGCGUUCAGUUGUCUCACAUGGGCCGGCCUCUGUCCUUCUGUAUAUUCAGUCUUUCCUAAUGCACUCAAAGCUUGUCACAUGGUGUAUGACAGUCCCAGGGCUACUGAAGACUGAAGCCAACUUCGAGGCAGACGAAUGACGGGAUCAGAGGCUGUGCUUCAGGAGGAUAAGGAAAUCAAACUCAUAAAGGCGAAGUAACUUGGCCAAAAUGAACAUGCACAUGCUUAUUAUGGGCCCAUAACUGUGCAGGACCAUCCUGGGGGAUGCCCCACCGAGUUGGCACCGAAACUCCCACCCAACAUGGCCAAGAACAAUCAGGACCGUGAGCUUUCCUUUUGGUUUCCGCGAUGGAGGCAGGGCCCUGGACGGGAGGAUGGAGGGUGGUCGAGAUGGUGGAUGAUGCAGGGGAGGAGAGAAAGAGAGAGAGACAAGGAGGAAAAGGGGUGUCAGAUACCCCUCAGCCCGCUGUGGGGACAAAGGGCAGGCUGCUCCACCAUGCGCCCGGUUGGCAUGCGGAUUAUUUUGAGCUGAAAACCAUCAUGGCACCAAAGACUUAGAAGAUAGUUUGGCCUCCACCCUGAAGCUGCAUAAAAAGGAUUUCGGUGGAGGACCUGCUCCCCGAGGAGAGCUACCCCCAAACUAGGGGUGAGAGGCAGG
Non-coding RNA from Manis javanica (Malayan pangolin), 783 nucleotides. Lineage: Eukaryota; Metazoa; Chordata; Mammalia; Pholidota; Manidae. The record is from RefSeq and is a predicted model, not a curated record.